UACGUAGGGGGCUAGCGUUGUCCGGAUUUAUUGGGCGUAAAGAGCGUGUAGGCGGCCAGGUAGGUCUGCUGUGAAAACUCGAGGCUCAACCUCGAGACGUCGGCGGAAACCAUCUGGCUAGAGUCCGGAAGAGGAGAGUGGAAUUCCUGGUGUAGCGGUGAAAUGCGCAGAUAUCAGGAGGAACACCAAUGGCGAAGGCAGCUCGCUGGGACGUUACUGACGCUGAGACGCGAAAGCGUGGGGAGCGAACAGG
Molecule: ribosomal RNA, 253 nt
Filed under: uncultured bacterium
Lineage: Bacteria
Description: partial 16S ribosomal RNA
Rfam family: Bacterial small subunit ribosomal RNA
Source: RNAcentral